Molecule: transfer RNA, 129 nt
Filed under: Fusarium culmorum
Lineage: Eukaryota; Fungi; Ascomycota; Sordariomycetes; Hypocreales; Nectriaceae
Also listed under: 4 other names
Description: tRNA-Met
Source: RNAcentral
AGCAGCUUGGCGCAGUGGAAGCGCGGUAAGUUACUUUACACAUUCAACGAAUGGUUAGAUUCAAUAUUCUAACUCUUCAUAGCCGGGCUCAUAACCCGGAGGUCACUGGAUCGAAACCAGUAGCUGCUA